Molecule: ribosomal RNA, 407 nt
Filed under: uncultured bacterium
Lineage: Bacteria
Description: partial 16S ribosomal RNA
Rfam family: Bacterial small subunit ribosomal RNA
Source: RNAcentral
AUUGAACGCUGGCGGCAGGCCUAACACAUGCAAGUCGAGCGGAGCGGCGGACGGGUGAGUAAUGCCUAGGAAUCUGCCUGGUAGUGGGGGAUAACGUCAGGAAACGGGCGCUAAUACCGCAUACUAUCAAAUGAGACUAGGUCGGAUUCGCUAUUUGGUGGGGUAAAGGCCUACCAAGGCGACGAUCCGUAACUGGUCUGAGAGGAUGAUCAGGCACACUGGAACUGGAACACGUCCCAGACUCCUACGGUAGGCAGCAGUGGGUAAUAUUGUACAAUGGGCGAAAGCCUGAGCCAGCCAUGCCGCGUGUUGGAAGAAGUUCUUCGGAUUGUAAAGCACUUUAAGUUGGGAGGCGUUACCAACAGAAUAAGCACCGGCUAACUUCGUGCCAGCAGCCGCGGUAAUAC